UAUUAUUACAUAAAACAAAUAAACUAAUUUUUAUUGAAUAUGUUUAAAGAGAAAUAUCAUAACUCUGAAGGAUCAAAACUUCCAAGAUAAAACAUCUAUAUAUACAAUUUUUGCAGCCAUUUUGUAAAAUAAAUCCUGGAGUUGGAACUUAUUUACAAUGGCUGUCACUGGCUUUUAUUUAUUUAUUUUCUUUUGGCAAUAAAUUGAUUAACAAAGAAAAAAUAUUUCAAAUAUAUUCCAAUCCCAUAUAUCACGCAGAUUUCUCCAAAAUUUGAAUUAGAUUUCGGAAAUUAUUUAAAACAAAAAAUAUUUGACAAACCAAAAUACAAUUGCAAUCCCUUAAAAUGAGCAAAACGCACAUAAAUACAUUUCUUAUCAGUUCACUAAAUCUUAUUUCUCCAAUAUUUGAAUUAAAUUUCGACAACUAUUUAAAACAAAAAUUUGUUUGACGAACUAAAAUAUAAUUGCAAUCCCGUAAUUUUUUUUUUUAAAUUAGCGGUGUACUACAAAAAAUUUUAACGGGACGGGUUUGGCAGAACGGGUUUGGAAGGAUGUUACUUAAUAACAAUUGUAAACUAUAAAAUAUAAAUAUUUUAUAGAUAAAUAUAAUUUACAGACUUUUAUAUAUACUAAUUUUAAAAAAUAAUUGUCUCCGCGGUGUACUGCGGGUUAUAAUCUAGUGUUUCGUAUUGUUGGACUAUACAAAAAUGAAGCUCUAACAUAUUUCGUAGAACAAUUUUGGUAAACAAAAUUUAUAAUUUAACAUGGCUGAGUGCAAUUAAACAGAUCCAUAUAUAACAACAAUUUUUUUUAUAAAUAAA
This 821-nucleotide small RNA is filed under the name Arabidopsis thaliana (thale cress). RNAcentral's name for it is "ATSL113220". Lineage: Eukaryota; Viridiplantae; Streptophyta; Magnoliopsida; Brassicales; Brassicaceae. The record is from RNAcentral.